RNAcentral lists this long non-coding RNA (379 nucleotides) under Homo sapiens (human). RNAcentral describes it as "non-protein coding lnc-ZNF479-15:1". The record is from RNAcentral. Lineage: Eukaryota; Metazoa; Chordata; Mammalia; Primates; Hominidae.
GGAUGGGGAUGAGAUUUCAGUUGCUCCGGGACCGACGCAUCUCCUCACGUGGGCCAGGUCUUCACACACACAAAGCGGAUCCGGGGCGGUGAAAACGAUUGACAACCGGCCCUCAUGACCCAGGCAGAGGCGCAGAAAGAGGCUCACCAAAGACCGGCCGCCAUGCCAGAAGCCGCUUUGUGGCGCACAGGGCACAUUCGGCCAAAGACACACACGCACACGGGCACAUACACACAAACCCACAGAGAGAGGGAAAGAAACACACAGAGACCGAGGGACAGAGACAGAAGAGCGAAUGGGUGACACACACAGAGACACACACACACAGACACACCCAGACACACACACAGAGUCAUACAGCAGAAGCAUUGAAACACAC